Molecule: long non-coding RNA, 291 nt
Filed under: Elaeis guineensis (African oil palm)
Lineage: Eukaryota; Viridiplantae; Streptophyta; Magnoliopsida; Arecales; Arecaceae
Description: long non-coding RNA (EGUI_LNC080332)
Source: RNAcentral
GAUGGCACCUGAAAUAUCAAUCAAAAAUAAUGGAUCCAUUACUAUUCACCUUAAUGGGAGGCUAUGAUCUAGUUGUCUCUAUAACCAGCUCAUUUUAUAAAUCUAAUAAUUUAGAAGAUUUGAUUAAAUCUUUUAAAAGAUAUCAGUCGACCUACAAAUCAUAAAUCCUCUCACUGAUUUCACUAAGUCAUGAAAAGGACUAGUGACUAGUGGAUCCAACCAGUAUGUCGUAAAUCCUCCCACUGACUUCAUCAAGUCAUGGGAAGGACUAGAGACAAGUCGAUCCAGGAU